AGAGUUUGAUCCUGGCUCAGAACGAACGCUGGCGGCGUGGAUUAGGCAUGCAAGUCGAACGAGAACCUGAUGGUUCAAGUUUUCGGACAAGAACUAUUGGAGGACAGUGGCGGAAGGGUGAGUACAACAUGGGUAAUCUAUCUUCAAGUUGGGUAUAACUUUCCGAAAGGGGAGAUAAUGCCGAAUGUGGUGAUCCGACGCCUGUCGGAGAUUCUAAAGGUGGGGACCGUAAGGCCUGCCGCUUGAAGCCGAGCCCGUGCACUAUCAGCUAGUUGGUAGGGUAAUGGCCUACCAAGGCAAUGACGGUUAGCUGGUCUGAGAGGAUGGUCAGCCACACUGGGACUGAGAUACUGCCCAGACUCCUACGGGAGGCUGCAGUCGAGAAUCAUUCGCAAUGGGCGAAAGCCUGACGGUGCGACGUCGCGUGGAGGAUGAAGGUCUUCGGAUUGUAAACUCCUGUCAUGAGGGAUAAAUGGCCAGGGCAAUAAUACUGCCUUGGAAUGAUAGUACCUCAGGAGGAAGAGACGGCUAACUCUGUGCCAGCAGCCGCGGUAAUACAGAGGUCUCAAGCGUUGUUCGGAUUUACUGGGCGUAAAGGGAGCGUAGGCGGUUUGGUAUGUCGAAUGUGAAAGCCCACAACUCAACUGUAGAAAGCAUUUGAAACUGGAGAACUUGAGUUAAGGAGAGGAAAGUGGAAUUCCUAGUGUAGCGGUGAAAUGCGUAGAUAUUAGGAGGAACAUCAGUGGCGAAGGCGACUUUCUGGACUUAUACUGACGCUGAGGAACGAAAGCGUGGGGAGCAAACAGGAUUAGAUACCCUGGUAGUCCACGCCGUAAACGAUGAGUGCUAGGUGUCGGGGGUCAAACCUCGGUGCCGGAGCUAACGUAUUAAGCACUCCGCCUGGGGAGUACGUACGCAAGUAUGAAACUCAAAGGAAUUGACGGGGACCCACACAAGCAGCGGAGCAUGUGGUUUAAUUCGAAGAUACGCGAAGAACCUUACCAGGACUUGACAUACUAGUGAUCGGUGUAGAGAUACAUCUUUUCCUUCGGGAACACUAAUACAGGUGGUGCAUGGUUGUCGUCAGCUCGUGUCGUGAGAUGUUGGGUUAAGUCCCGUAACGAGCGCAACCCUUAUUUUUAGUUGCUACCAUUAAGUUGAGCACUCUAGAGAGACUGCCGUCGAUAAGACGGAGGAAGGCGGGGAUGACGUCAAAUCAUCAUGCCCCUUAUGUCCUGGGCUACACACGUGCUACAAUGGUCAGUACAACGGGCAGCUACACAGCGAUGUGAUGCUAAUCCCUUAAAGCUGAUCUCAGUUCGGAUUGUAGGCUGCAACUCGCCUACAUGAAGUCGGAGUUGCUAGUAAUUGCGGGUCAGAACACCGCAGUGAAUGAGUUCCUGGGUCUUGUACACACCGCCCGUCA
This 1426-nucleotide ribosomal RNA is filed under the name uncultured bacterium. RNAcentral's name for it is "partial 16S ribosomal RNA". It matches the Rfam family "Bacterial small subunit ribosomal RNA". The record is from RNAcentral.